UACGGGGGGGGCAAGCGUUGUUCGGAAUUACUGGGCGUAAAGGGCUCGUAGGCGGCCAACUAAGUCCGACGUGAAAUCCCCAGGCUUAACCUGGGAACUGCGUCGGAUACUGGAUGGCUUGAAUUCGGGAGAGGGAUGCAGAAUUCCAGGUGUAGCGGUGAAAUGCGUAGAUAUCUGGAGGAAUACCGGUGGCGAAGGCGGCAUCCUGGACCGACAUUGACGCUGAUGAGCGAAAGCUAGGGGGGCAAACGGG
This 253-nucleotide ribosomal RNA is filed under the name uncultured bacterium. Its description in RNAcentral is "partial 16S ribosomal RNA". It matches the Rfam family "Bacterial small subunit ribosomal RNA", at positions 524 to 776 of the family's 1533-position model. The record is from RNAcentral.